This 234-nucleotide ribosomal RNA is filed under the name uncultured bacterium. RNAcentral describes it as "partial 16S ribosomal RNA". It matches the Rfam family "Bacterial small subunit ribosomal RNA", at positions 15 to 237 of the family's 1533-position model. The record is from RNAcentral.
GAUCAUGGCUCAGGAUGAACGCUAGCUACAGGCUUAACACAUGCAAGUCGAGGGGCAGCAUUUUAGUUUGCUUGCAAACUGAAGAUGGCGACCGGCGCACGGGUGAGUAACACGUAUCCAACCGUGCCGAUAACUCUGGAAUAGCCUUUCGAAAGAAAGAUUAAUACCGGAUGGCAUACGAAUAUCGCAAUGAUAUUUUUAUUAAAGAAUCUCGGUUAUCGAUGGGGAUGCGUU